UCCUUCCCCGCGCAGGGAGGAGGCAGCAGCUUCUCUUCCGGCUUUGCUGCGGGCGGUUCGGCCCCCGCUGACCCGAUGGGCGCACGGCUGAGCUCAGCCCCUGCCCGGCUGGGGGUCGGUUCUGCCGGCCCUGCGGCAGAAUCCCUCCGUGCUCCUUCCAAAUGGGGCUCCGAAGGCUCAGCCUUCACUGCUGGCAGCCCGUCCUUCACAGGAGGGAUGGAAAUGGGUUCCUUCUUCACCACGCCGGGCUCCACCGGAGGAUGAGCAGCUGCAGACUGCACCCCUCCCGAUCCCUCCGGGUAUCUCUUCAAGCCACAGCUAAAGGUAGUAAACAAAAAACAGAAGAAAUCAAAUACAGAAUAAUAAGAAAUACAGUCAGCAGAGACCUCUCCACGCCGACGGCCCACUGUGCUCACACAGCGUUCGGAGGUCUGACCUCGCAGCGUUAAGGCAGUGAAAACCCGCAGGCAAAGAGCUGCUUUGUUCCCCAUAGCCCCGGCGGUGCCCGCAGGACUCGGAGCUGCCGGGGCUGCCCUCGGUGCCACUGCCCCAGCACUGCGCCGCUCGGAGCCCACGCAGGUCGUGGCUGAAGGGCUGCUGGCACUGCCGCAGCCAACCGACCCAUCGCUUCCCAUUGCUCGGGCAGCUCUGAGGGCAGCGCGAGCCCUGUGCCAUCGGAGGGCUCUGCCGUGGCUCGGCUCCGGCGCUCCACGAGCCCGACGGCUUUGGAACGGCGCGUUGGGUUUUAUGGGGAGGGGGUUUUUCAGCCGGAGGGCGACGGCAACCCGUUCCGGCGCGUCCAAGGAGGUCGUGGGGCGAGAGGGGGGUGGCACGACGGGUCUGUGGGCGGCGCGGAGCCGCGAAGGGCUGAAGGAAGGGCUCAGGGAGCCGGGAGGGGAGAGCUGCAGAUGAGCCCGAGGGCCGCGCGGGGCUGAGCCUGCUGUGCUGGGAGCCGGAGCGGCGCCACGGGGGGGCACAGGGCUGGAACCCCUCUGCUGUGGGGACAGGGAGGGAGCUGCGGCUGUGCGGCACGGAGCGGGCUCGGAGGAGGCCGUGCGGUGGCCUUCCAGGACCCGGAGGGGCCUAUGGGAAAGCUGGGCAGGGACAGCAUAAGGGCGAGGGGUGACGGGACGAGGGGAAACGGCUUUGCAGUUCAAGGGGGGAGAUCGAGAGCGGGCAAUAGGAAGGCGUUCUCUAUGGGGAACGGGUUGUCCAGGGAGGUGUGGAUGCCCCAUCCCUGCAGGCAUUCCAGGCCAGGCUGGAUGUGGCUCUGGGCAGCCUGGGCUGCUGGUUGGGGACCUGCACAUAGCAGGG
RNAcentral lists this long non-coding RNA (1314 nucleotides) under Gallus gallus (chicken). Lineage: Eukaryota; Metazoa; Chordata; Aves; Galliformes; Phasianidae. The record is from RNAcentral.